Molecule: ribosomal RNA, 680 nt
Filed under: Anthoxanthum hirtum
Lineage: Eukaryota; Viridiplantae; Streptophyta; Magnoliopsida; Poales; Poaceae
Description: eukaryotic LSU rRNA
Rfam family: 5.8S ribosomal RNA (bases 246-401)
Source: RNAcentral
UCAACCUGCGGAAGGAUCAUUGUCGUGACCCGUAACCAAAACCGACCGAGCACGCGUCAUCCAACCUGCCGACGACGGCAUCGUUCGUCGCUCGGCAAAUUCCUCGAACACCUCCUCUCCUCGGAGUGGGGGAUCGGGGUAAAAGAACCCACGGCGCCAAAGGCGUCAAGGAACACUGUGCCAAGCUCGGGGAUGCGGCUGGCUUGCUGGCUGCCCCCCGUGCUGCAAUGCUAUUUAAUCCACACGACUCUCGGCAACGGAUAUCUCGGCUCUCGCAUCGAUGAAGAACGUAGCGAAAUGCGAUACCUGGUGUGAAUUGCAGAAUCCCGCGAACCAUCGAGUCUUUGAACGCAAGUUGCGCCCGAGGCCUUUCGGCUGAGGGCACGCCUGCCUGGGCGUCACGCAAAACACGCUCCCACACCCCCUCAUUUGGGAAUGGGAWGCGGCAUGUGGCCCCCCGUCACGCAAGGGGCGGUGGGCCGAAGAUAUGGCUGCCGGCGCAUCGUGUCGGACACAGCGCGUGGUGGGGGUCCUCGCUUUACUUACCGCAGUGCAUCCRGCAUGUAGCCGACGUGAUGGCCAGAAAGGACCCUUUUGAACGGUGCGUACAACGCUCCGACCGCGACCCCAGGUCAGGCGGGACUACCCGCUGAAUUUAAGCAUAUCAAUAAGCGGAGGAA